CAAGUUCACCAUCAGAUUUUUCUCAACUUUCUACAAAAUCAAAUGGUUAAAAAAAAUGCAAGACAAAUUAAAAAAAAUAAAAAAUCAAAUUUUCAGUUACACCAAGUCUCUGUUUUGACAGUAUACUUUAACUGAAAGGUAAAUUUAGCAGCUGUUCGCAUCAGUACCAGAGGUCCACAUCAGUCCCUUUAUCUUCUGCUAUUUAACCCAUGUAACUUGUCAAUACACUGUUUAAAAAAAAAAAAUUGUAAAUUAGAACUUUAUCUUUACCAAGUAUUGUGUCAUCUCUUUGACAAGUAUAUUUUCUACUUCUGUGGUAUUUAGACGACGAUUUGGGAGGCCUCCCUGCAGGGAACAUUUUCUCCUGCAAAAAUUAUUCGUUUUAGUGGAUACACACAGGGCAAGCUGUCAAAUUUAUAAAUAUGCUGGCAUAAUGUGGAGGGCAUAUAGGUUAGAUUGCGCGUUUAGGUUAGAAAAUAUACUUGGCAAAGAGACAACACAAGACUUGAUAAAGAAUAAGUUCAUAUUUACAACUUUUUUUUUUUAAUGUAUUGACAAGUAACUGGGCUGAAUAUCAGAAGAUGGAGGAACUGAUGUGGACCUUUGGUACUGAUGCUAACAGAUGCUAAAUUUACCUCAGUUGAAGUAUGCUGUUAAGUCUGAGACUAGGGAAACUGAAAAUUUGUUUUGUUUUGUUUUUUUUAAUCCUGUCUUCUUUUUUUAACCUUGAUUUUGUAAAACGUUUAUGAAGGUGAAGCUGAUGAUGGUCUUGAAGGUGUAGUUGAGGAACAGGUGUAGCACUGUAGCAAACUGUCCACUCAAGUGGCAGGGUAUUAAUUUAAUUCACUGGUGUUUAAUGUUGGUAAACUGUGUACCAGUGUUUUAUGGUCGGUGUAGUUGGGUGGUGGUGUUGGUGGGUGAUGGUGUAGCUCUGAUUGACUGAUGUGGUAAGAUCAGUCAGUCCAACAGGUAAGAUCUUCUCAGUGGUUCUGGAUCCAAACCAGCUGUUGAACUUCUGGCCUCCUGGACUGUUGGGUGGAAGUGGACCAGGUGGACCAACUCCUGAGUCGAAAGAUCUUCUCAGCCACAGGAAGUCUUCAGGGUUCUAAGACUGCUGCAGGGUUGACCUUGGAUAAGUGGGUUCUGUGCUGUCUGUUCACACGGCAGACCAAAGUUUGACCAUGAUCUGGACGGACCCCAGAGAGCUGGAGUGGACUAAAUAUGUUAACUGGACCUUUUCUACUACCACACAUGUACAGGAUGACCCCCGCCUCCCCUGAAGAGACCAUUAAAGACGUCAGACCUGAGACUAUGGACCUUGGAGAAACUACAUCCUGGUCUGGACUGCAGCCAAGAAGAUCCUGUCCUGCCUCCGUCCUACUGGGUGUCUGAAGGUUCUGCCCCCCCACCCCUCAGGACCCGUGCUGACGACAGUUGACAGGAUCGUCCACUCCUGGUCCCUGAUUGGCUGUAUAUGGAUUUAUAUUGUGACUGUUUCCAGAUGAUCAUGUUGUUACAUAGAUGUUCUAAGAUCUGGUCUUUGGUCACUGAUGAAUUAAACUAAACUUAAUCCUAGAUUUAUUUCUGCUUUAGUUUAAAAUCAGUCAGAGUUUCAUGAACUGGAUUUCCUUCACACACCCCCACACCCCUCCCCCCUUCACACUCUUCUCCCCUUCACGUCCCCCUUCUUCUUGGUGCUUAACGAAAUCCAGUCGUGAAUUCUUACUGAGUGCUGUACCAUGGUACCAAGUUUCCAAAAUCAGACCUGGAUCCGUCUGGUUUUGGGACCUGGUACCAACUAGUUAAUGUGUAGUUAUUUAGAACAGAAUGAAGAUCUUGAUUAUGAUCAAGUCUUUGUAGUUGUUUCAUCAGUGGCCUCUGGUCCAGAUCAAGGACUACACAUGAGAACCACGGUGACUCAGUUCACAGUUGCCUUGUCUGUUUUGUUUGUUUUUUUUUGUUUGAGUUGGAGGAUUUAUUUUUGUUUAGUUUUUUUGGACUGUGACCUCUGUUCCUUUUAGUAACACUUUGAUUUGAGAUGUCAAAAUAAACUACGUUCAAUAUAAAAUGAAAUGGAAAUGAUUCUUUCUAACUUAUUUUAGAAUCUAGUCACGGGCCAGAUUUGAUGGUUCAGUGGGCUGGAUUUGGGCCGCGGGCCACCUGUUGAUCACUGCUCUAUACUUGGUAUAUCCUCUAGCUUUCUUAAACAUUUUUAAGCCUUGGUUUAAAAAGAGAAGAAAACUAGAUGUUGUAGUUUUGGGUGCAUUCGUCUUAGAGGAAACAUGGGAAGUGAUGCAGUGCGGUCACAUGAAGUCUUGUGUAACUUUCUGUGACUCGGCCUCAGUCGAACUGCUGCUGACUCUGAAGGUUAGGGUUUGUACCAGAGUGAACUUUCCAUGUGAUUCCACCUGAUCAGCCCUGACGCCGGUCAGGCUGUGUUCUCACUCUGAGACGCCGUUCUCAGCCUCUGUCGUUCUGUAGGAACAACAAUGGUGACAUACAAGUCUAUGGCUGCUGGUGGACAGAGAACGGCGUCUCUGU
Molecule: long non-coding RNA, 2541 nt
Organism: Cynoglossus semilaevis (tongue sole)
Lineage: Eukaryota; Metazoa; Chordata; Actinopteri; Pleuronectiformes; Cynoglossidae
Exons: 5
Source: RefSeq, a predicted model, not a curated record